AUACUCUGAUUUAUCCUCAGAUUGCAUAAAUCUUUUUGCCUUUUACUAAAGAUUUCCAUAAAUAGGAACAAUUCUUAGUUUUCAACCAAAUUUUUGAGAACUUACUCCUGUGAGGUU
This is a small nuclear RNA of Sorex fumeus (smoky shrew), 117 nucleotides long. RefSeq annotates it as U5 spliceosomal RNA. The transcript has a single exon. NCBI's taxonomy places the organism in Eukaryota, Metazoa, Chordata, Mammalia, Eulipotyphla, Soricidae. The record is from RefSeq and is a predicted model, not a curated record.